CCUACGGGAGGCAGCAGUGGGGAAUAUUGGACAAUGGGGGCAACCCCGAUCCAGCCAUGCCGCGUGUGUGAAGAAGGCCCUCGGGUUGUAAAGCACUUUCAGUGAGGAAGAACGCCUGGUGGUUAAUACCCAUCAGGAAAGACAUCACUCACAGAAGAAGCACCGGCUAACUCCGUGCCAGCAGCCGCGGUAAUACGGAGGGUGCGAGCGUUAAUCGGAAUUACUGGGCGUAAAGCGCGCGUAGGUGGCUUGAUAAGCCGGUUGUGAAAGCCCCGGGCUCAACCUGGGAACGGCAUCCGGAACUGUCAAGCUAGAGUGCAGGAGAGGAAGGUAGAAUUCCCGGUGUAGCGGUGAAAUGCGUAGAGAUCGGGAGGAAUACCAGUGGCGAAGGCGGCCUUCUGGACUGACACUGACACUGAGGUGCGAAAGCGUGGGUAGCAAACAGGAUUAGAUACCCCUGUAGUC
Molecule: ribosomal RNA, 465 nt
Filed under: Vreelandella stevensii
Lineage: Bacteria; Pseudomonadati; Pseudomonadota; Gammaproteobacteria; Oceanospirillales; Halomonadaceae
Description: partial 16S ribosomal RNA
Rfam family: Bacterial small subunit ribosomal RNA
Source: RNAcentral